CAAAUCUCAAACCAGCCAGACAGACGUCUGCCAAAGUUUGUUGGAGAGGCCACACUCAAUGAAGAUAAAUUAAAGGAGAAACUGAAGGACAAACAGAAAGACCAGCCUGAAGAAGCAUUUAAGAGAAAAGUGUUUCAGGAAGAACUGCAGUAUAAAUGGAGGAAAAGGGUAGAGGACUACAGCUGGUCUCCCAUCGCAGAUCUAAAAGCUGA
Long non-coding RNA from Sinocyclocheilus rhinocerous, 212 nucleotides. RefSeq lists it as uncharacterized. The record is from RefSeq and is a predicted model, not a curated record. The transcript is spliced from 3 exons. NCBI's taxonomy places the organism in Eukaryota, Metazoa, Chordata, Actinopteri, Cypriniformes, Cyprinidae.